This 468-nucleotide ribosomal RNA is filed under the name uncultured Acidovorax sp. Its description in RNAcentral is "bacterial SSU rRNA". It matches the Rfam family "Bacterial small subunit ribosomal RNA", at positions 917 to 1381 of the family's 1533-position model. Lineage: Bacteria; Pseudomonadati; Pseudomonadota; Betaproteobacteria; Burkholderiales; Comamonadaceae. The record is from RNAcentral.
UUGACGGGACCGCACAAGCGGUGGAUGAUGUGGAUUAAUUCGAUGCAACGCGAAAACCUUACCCACCUUGACAUGUACGGAAUCCUUUAGAGAUAGAGGAGUGCUCGAAAGAGAACCGUAACACAGGUGCUGCAUGGCUGUCGUCAGCUCGUGUCGUGAGAUGUUGGGUUAAGUCCCGCAACGAGCGCAACCCUUGUCAUUAGUUGCUACAUUCGGUUGGGCACUCUAAUGAGACUGCCGGUGACAAACCGGAGGAAGGUGGGGAUGACGUCAAGUCCUCAUGGCCCUUAUAGGUGGGGCUACACACGUCAUACAAUGGAUGGUACAAAGGGUCGCCAACCCGCGAGGGGGAGCCAAUCCCAUAAAGCCAUUCGUAGUCCGGAUCGCAGUCUGCAACUCGACUGCGUGAAGUCGGAAUCGCUAGUAAUCGUGGAUCAGAAUGUCACGGUGAAUACGUUCCCGGGCCUU